UAAUCUGCCUUUGCUUCAGGUGCUUGAUCAAAAAAGUGAAACUGGGAAGUUAGUCUGUCUGAGUAUUUAUAGGAUUUAUCGUGUAAAUCUUAUGCAAAAGCUAACACUGCCCCCGCAACGGUGAAUAGUUAUUUUAGCGAUAACUUAAGUCCGGAGACCGGCCUGUUGUAGUCCUAUAAC
This 180-nucleotide non-coding RNA is filed under the name Acinetobacter larvae. Lineage: Bacteria; Pseudomonadati; Pseudomonadota; Gammaproteobacteria; Moraxellales; Moraxellaceae. The record is from RNAcentral.